UUUCUGUAGGUGAACCUGCAGAAGGAUCAUUAGUGAAUCAGAAAGGGUAGGUUCCUAUUGGUGGGCCCCUGCUCUUUACAAUUCAUUUCCACACCUGUGCACUUGUUGGGGCUAGGGCGCUUGCCCUGGGACUCUGGCAGAGCAGGAAUCUCGAGGGGGCUUUUGAUGUGUUGGUUGUCCUAAGGGCUAGUAGAAACUAACAACUAUUGACCACUUAUCUCUUGGUUCUCGCAUCGAUGAAGAAGGCAGGAGGUCCAAAGGGCACAAGUCCGAACACCA
Molecule: unclassified non-coding RNA, 279 nt
Filed under: plant metagenome
Description: partial contains small subunit ribosomal RNA, internal transcribed spacer 1, and 5.8S ribosomal RNA
Source: RNAcentral